UACGUAGGGUGCGAGCGUUGUCCGGAAUUAUUGGGCGUAAAGAGCUCGUAGGCGGUGUGUCGCGUCGGCCGUGAAAACCUGGGGCUCAACUCUGGGCGUGCGGUCGAUACGGGCAUCACUUGAGUUCGGCAGGGGAGACUGGAAUUCCUGGUGUAGCGGUGAAAUGCGCAGAUAUCAGGAGGAACACCGGUGGCGAAGGCGGGUCUCUGGGCCACAACUGACGCUGAGGCGCGAAAGCUAGGGGAGCAAACAGG
This 254-nucleotide ribosomal RNA is filed under the name uncultured bacterium. Its description in RNAcentral is "partial 16S ribosomal RNA". It matches the Rfam family "Bacterial small subunit ribosomal RNA", at positions 524 to 776 of the family's 1533-position model. The record is from RNAcentral.